UCCCUUGUAGCUCAGUUGGUAAAGAAUCUGCCUGCAAUGCAGGAGACCCAGGUUCGAUUCCUGGGUUGUGAA
RNAcentral lists this transfer RNA (72 nucleotides) under Ovis aries (sheep). It matches the Rfam family "tRNA". From Rfam's summary of the family: Transfer RNA (tRNA) molecules are approximately 80 nucleotides in length. Their secondary structure includes four short double-helical elements and three loops (D, anti-codon, and T loops). The record is from Rfam by way of RNAcentral. Lineage: Eukaryota; Metazoa; Chordata; Mammalia; Artiodactyla; Bovidae.